AUUGAACGCUGGCGGCAGGCCUAACACAUGCCAGUCGAACGGUAACAGGGAUCAGCUUGCUGAUUCGCUGACGAGUGGCGGACGGGUGAGUAAUGUCUGGGAAACUGCCUGAUGGAGGGGGAUAACUACUGGAAACGGUAGCUAAUACCGCAUAACGUCGCAAGACCAAAGAGGGGGACCUUCGGGCCUCUUGCCAUCGGAUGUGCCCAGAUGGGAUUAGCUAGUAGGUGGGGUAACGGCUCACCUAGGCGACGAUCCCUAGCUGGUCUGAGAGGAUGACCAGCCACACUGGAACUGAGACACGGUCCAGACUCCUACGGGAGGCAGCAGUGGGGAAUAUUGGACAAUGGGCGCAAGCCUGAUGCAGCCAUGCCGCGUGGAUGAAGAAGGCCUUCGGGUUGUAAAGUACUUUUCGCGGGGAGGAAGGGAGUAAAGUUAAUACCUUUGCUCAUUGACGUUACCCGCAGAAGAAGCACCGGCUAACUCCGUG
Molecule: ribosomal RNA, 490 nt
Filed under: uncultured bacterium
Lineage: Bacteria
Description: partial 16S ribosomal RNA
Rfam family: Bacterial small subunit ribosomal RNA
Source: RNAcentral